This is a small nuclear RNA of Pongo abelii (Sumatran orangutan), 103 nucleotides long. The record is from Ensembl. NCBI's taxonomy places the organism in Eukaryota, Metazoa, Chordata, Mammalia, Primates, Hominidae.
UUGCUUCAGCAGCAUGUAUACUAAAAUUGGAAUGAUAUAGAGAAGAUAAGCAUGGCCCCUGCACAAGGAUGACACACAAAUUCAUGAAGCAUCCCAUAUUUUA